AGAGUUUGAUCCUGGCUCAGAACGAACGCUGGCGGCAGGCCUAACACAUGCAAGUCGAGCGCCCGCAAGGGAGCGGCAGACGGGUGAGUAACGCGUGGGAACGUGCCCUUUGGUUCGGAAUAUUCCCGGGAAACUGGGAGCAAAACCGGAUAAGCCCUUCGGGGGAAAGUUUACGCCAAAGGAUCGGCCCGCGUUAGAUUAGGUAGUUGGUGGGGUAACGGCCUACCAAGCCUACGAUCUAUAGCUGAUCUGAGAGGAUGAUCAGCCACACUGGGACUGAGACACGGCCCAGACUCCUACGGGAGGCAGCAGUGGGGAAUCUUGGACAAUGGGCGCAAGCCUGAUCCAGCCAUGCCGCGUGGAUGACUGAAGGCCCUAGGGUUGUAAAGUCCUUUCGACGGGGACGAUAAUGACGGUACCCGUAGAAGAAGCCCCGGCUAACUUCGUGCCAGCAGCCGCGGUAAUACGAAGGGGGCUAGCGUUGUUCGGAUUUACUGGGCGUAAAGGGCGCGUAGGCGGAUUUUUAAGUCGGGGGUGAAAUCCCGGAGCUCAACUCCGGAACUGCCUUCGAUACUGGAAGUCUGGAGCACGGUAGAGGUGAGUGGAAUUCCGAGUGUAGCGGUGAAAUGCGUAGA
Molecule: ribosomal RNA, 635 nt
Filed under: uncultured bacterium
Lineage: Bacteria
Description: bacterial SSU rRNA
Rfam family: Bacterial small subunit ribosomal RNA
Source: RNAcentral